GCGGGCGUCGUAUAGUGGUAAUACGCUAGCUUGCCAAGCUAGUGACGGCGGUUCGAUUCCGCUCGCCCGCUCCA
RNAcentral lists this transfer RNA (74 nucleotides) under bacterium. Its description in RNAcentral is "tRNA-Gly". It matches the Rfam family "tRNA". From Rfam's summary of the family: Transfer RNA (tRNA) molecules are approximately 80 nucleotides in length. Their secondary structure includes four short double-helical elements and three loops (D, anti-codon, and T loops). Further hydrogen bonds mediate the characteristic L-shaped molecular structure. tRNAs have two regions of fundamental functional importance: the anti-codon, which is responsible for specific mRNA codon recognition, and the 3' end, to which the tRNAs corresponding amino acid is attached (by aminoacyl-tRNA synthetases). tRNAs cope with the degeneracy of the genetic code in two manners: having more than one tRNA (with a specific anti-codon) for a particular amino acid; and 'wobble' base-pairing, i.e. permitting non-standard base-pairing at the 3rd anti-codon position. The record is from RNAcentral.